RNAcentral lists this ribosomal RNA (292 nucleotides) under uncultured bacterium. RNAcentral describes it as "partial 16S ribosomal RNA". It matches the Rfam family "Bacterial small subunit ribosomal RNA", at positions 505 to 796 of the family's 1533-position model. The record is from RNAcentral.
GUGCCAGCAGCCGCGGUAAUACGGAGGGUGCAAGCGUUAAUCGGAAUUACUGGGCGUAAAGCGUGCGUAGGCGGUUGUUUAAGUCAGAUGUGAAAGCCCUGGGCUUAACCUGGGAACUGCAUUUGAUACUGGGCAACUAGAGUUUAGUAGAGGGGAGUGGAAUUUCAGGUGUAGCGGUGAAAUGCGUAGAGAUCUGAAGGAACACCAGUGGCGAAGGCGGCUCCCUGGACUAAAACUGACGCUGAGGUACGAAAGCGUGGGUAGCAAACAGGAUUAGAAACCCCCGUAGUCC